GGCGGCAGGCCUAACACAUGCAAGUCGAGCGCUCGUAGCAAUACGAGAGCGGCAGACGGGAGAGUAACACGUGGGAACGUGCCCUUCGGUUCGGAAUAACUCAGGGAAACUUGAGCUAAUACCGGAUACGCCCUUACGGGGAAAGAUUUAUUGCCGAGGGAGCGGCCCGCGCCCGAUUAGCUAGUUGGCGAGGUAAUGGCUCACCAAGGCUUCGAUCGGUAACCGGCCUGAGAGGGCGAUCGGUCACACCGGAACUGAGACACGGUCCGGACUCCUACGGGAGGCAGCAGUGGGGAAUCUUGCGCAAUGGGCGAAAGCCUGACGCAGCAACGCCGCGUGGAGGAUGAAGGCCCUUGGGUUGUAAACUCCUGUCGGUUGGGAAGAAAUCUUACGGGGCUAAUACCUCCGUAAGUUGACUGUACCAGCAAAGGAAGCCCCGGCUAACUCUGUGCCAGCAGCCGCGGUAAUACAGAGGGGGCCAGCGUU
Molecule: ribosomal RNA, 486 nt
Filed under: uncultured bacterium
Lineage: Bacteria
Description: bacterial SSU rRNA
Rfam family: Bacterial small subunit ribosomal RNA
Source: RNAcentral